This 1127-nucleotide unclassified non-coding RNA is filed under the name Hevea brasiliensis (rubber tree). Lineage: Eukaryota; Viridiplantae; Streptophyta; Magnoliopsida; Malpighiales; Euphorbiaceae. The record is from RNAcentral.
CUGAAAAACAUAAACCUGUCCAUAGAAUUCCGCGAAAUCAAAUUCAUGGAAACCAAAUCAAAACCCAAAAUUCAAAUCCCAAACAACAUGAAACGAUCAUCCUCUUCCAAUUCCGAUUCACACUUCGAGUCCCCCCACUCCCCUCUCCGACUCAAUUCGCCGCUCCCUUCCGACCAGGGCGAUCCCCAUGAGUCUCCUCCCUUCGUCUCCCCGAUGAACUCCCCGGGAAAGUCUCCACCGAUGGAUAACUCCAUGGCUAUCGUCGCAGUUAAUAAGUUUCCGAAGCCAUCCCCGCUCCCGCAGGAAAAUGCUGCGUAUCCUCAGGCGCCGGCGAUGACGUUUAACAGGGCGGUGAGAGAAGAGGGGCCUCCAGUCGUGGGAAAGGUGAGGCCUGAGGGGAGAUCGGCGGUGGUGGAGCCUUGGAAAUCAAGGAGAGAGGAUAUGAUGAAGGUCGCUGAGUUAGGGUUUAGAAUUAGUGAGUUUGUCUUGUGCUUGAUUUCGUUCUCGGUAAUGGCAGCUGACAAGACUCAGGGGUGGAGUGGUGAUUCCUAUGAUCGAUAUAGAGAAUACAGGUAUUGCUUGUCUGUGAAUGUUAUUGCAUUUGUAUAUUCAGGAUUCCAAGCUUAUGAUCUGGGCUACCAUCUGGUCACAGGCAAACAUGUGAUCCGCCACCACCUACGCCGUAAUUUUAAUUUCUUUAUGGAUCAGAUAUUGGCAUAUCUUCUGAUAUCAGCUGCUUCAUCAGCAGCCACCCGGGUCGAUGACUGGCAAUCUAAUUGGGGCAAAGAUGAGUUUACAGAGAUGGCUAGUGCUUCAGUUGCGAUGGCCUUCCUAGCUUUUAUUGCCUUUGCUGUUAGCUCGCUCAUUUCUGGUUACAACCUAUACAAGAAUAGCUGAUCUCGGAGGCAGUGUCAUACUGUAUCAAAUAAUGGUGUGGGGAAAGGAAUUAAGAAAAUGCCAAUUUCCAAUCAUUUUUCUUACGCUGUACAGAGACAGACAGCCAUUUUUUUUCAGCCUUUUUUCUCCUCUCCUUUUCUCCCUCCCUUUCAGCAAUAGAGAAAAAUUGAACAUUUGGAAUGUAUAUGAAGCCACGCUACCAAGCCAUCAAUAACAGAGUAUGUUAGCAG